GGGGCAGUAGCUCAAUGGUAGAGCUCCCGCUUCAUAUGCGGGAAGACCUGGGUUCGAUUCCCGGCUGCUUAC
Molecule: transfer RNA, 72 nt
Filed under: Toxocara canis (dog roundworm)
Lineage: Eukaryota; Metazoa; Nematoda; Chromadorea; Rhabditida; Toxocaridae
Rfam family: tRNA
About the family: Transfer RNA (tRNA) molecules are approximately 80 nucleotides in length. Their secondary structure includes four short double-helical elements and three loops (D, anti-codon, and T loops). Further hydrogen bonds mediate the characteristic L-shaped molecular structure. tRNAs have two regions of fundamental functional importance: the anti-codon, which is responsible for specific mRNA codon recognition, and the 3' end, to which the tRNAs corresponding amino acid is attached (by aminoacyl-tRNA synthetases). tRNAs cope with the degeneracy of the genetic code in two manners: having more than one tRNA (with a specific anti-codon) for a particular amino acid; and 'wobble' base-pairing, i.e. permitting non-standard base-pairing at the 3rd anti-codon position.
Source: Rfam by way of RNAcentral